AAAACUCAAAGGGCUUGGCGGUGUUUUAGACCACUCAGGGGAGCCUGUCUCAUAAUCGAUGAUCCACGUUCAACCUGACCUUCUUUGGCGGUCAGCUUGUAUACCGUCGUCGUCAGGUAACUUCUAAAAAACUAAAAGUUAGCGAAAGAAUUUGUAAAUUCCAAUGUCAGAUCAGGGUGCAGCUUAUAAAAAGGGGAGGAUGGGUUACAAUUAUAAAUCUUAAUUACGGAAGACCAUUAGAAUUAAUCGGCCUGAAGGAGGACUUGAAAGUAAUUUUAAAUAUACAAAUUGCAUGAAUAAGGCUCUGAAAUGUG
RNAcentral lists this ribosomal RNA (314 nucleotides) under Conasprella ione. RNAcentral's name for it is "partial 12S ribosomal RNA". The record is from RNAcentral. Lineage: Eukaryota; Metazoa; Mollusca; Gastropoda; Neogastropoda; Conidae.